GGUGAGUAACGCGUGGAUAACCUGCCUCACACUGGGGGAUAACAGUUAGAAAUGACUGCUAAUACCGCAUAAGCGCACAGUACCGCAUGGUACGGUGUGAAAAACUCCGGUGGUGUGAAACGGAUCCGCGUCUGAUUAGCCAGUUGGCGGGGUAACGGCCCACCAAAGCGACGAUCAGUAGCCGACCUGAGAGGGUGACCGGCCACAUUGGGACUGAGACACGGCCCAAACUCCUACGGGAGGCAGCAGUGGGGAAUAUUGCACAAUGGGCGAAAGCCUGAUGCAGCGACGCCGCGUGAGUGAAGAAGUAUUUCGGUAUGUAAAGCUCUAUC
This 332-nucleotide ribosomal RNA is filed under the name uncultured bacterium. Its description in RNAcentral is "bacterial SSU rRNA". It matches the Rfam family "Bacterial small subunit ribosomal RNA", at positions 105 to 437 of the family's 1533-position model. The record is from RNAcentral.